AGACGGAUGGAGUGGAGCGGGCCGUGCGUAGGGAAUGCGCAUGCGCGAGGUGGGCAUGUAGUCCCCACCCUCGCUGAGCAGUGGGCUCGUCCAAACUCUACUGUUUGCGGGGAGCCUUGCCCGAGACCUUCAUUCAUUCAGUCUUUCCGUCAUGCUGAGUUACCUCGGUUCCCGCAACAUUUUCUGGGGGCUCCUCCGGGAUUCGGAGAAGGGCGUAUUCACCUCCUUUGUCGCCGAGGGAUUGUCCCCGGGGCGCCGGAAGAGGUGACUGGCGCCCGCAGACUUGUUCCGUAGGAGACUCACCCUUCCCGACGGGUGGAGGAUAUAACCCGAAUGCAAAACGGAACCUGGUGAGACGUGACAAACAGUGGGGAACCUUCCCGGUCUGACUGAACCCUGAGUAGACCCAAGGGGCGGUCAUAGGACUUCAAAUCUAUGGAAGGGGCACUGACCCUGGAACCCUACUUCAUAUCAAAUGGGUAAAUAUAACACAGAAGUGAAACUCCUUUGAGGUCUUCCAGUCCUUUUAUGAAGAAAUAAGAAGUGCAGUACCACUGUCCCUGUCACCAGGAUCUUGUUCCUCUCCCCAGCUGAAACAAUGGUACAAUCCCUUAAUGUAACCCCCUGCUGUGUCUGCAGAAGAAAUAACGUGGGGGAUCAGUGGCCCUGGGGAGCAAAAGAACUCAAUCCUAAGGAACUAUACAAUGAAACUUCUACUCCCCGGUCGGCUGAGGGGUCCUGGGCCUUAAAAACUUCUACCUUCAACAUGUCAGUGGGAAAUUUAACUUGUCUGGGUCAAAAAUAUUACAGUGCCUCAUCCCAGGCAACCCUGCGGUGGGGCUCAACUCAAAAUUAUUCAGAACCCGACCCCCCAUCCGCUAGCAAACUUCAUCCACCUCAGUUCCACCCAGUACAACGUCGCAUUAGAGGUUAAAUGGAGGGCCCAGGAGGCUUAUACUGGGUUUGUAGAAAAACUGCCUAUGUUGAGCUUCCCCCUUUCUGGUCAAGGUCAUGUGUCUUAGGAACUA
Molecule: long non-coding RNA, 1028 nt
Organism: Manis javanica (Malayan pangolin)
Lineage: Eukaryota; Metazoa; Chordata; Mammalia; Pholidota; Manidae
Source: RefSeq, a predicted model, not a curated record